GACAGAGGUGCCGAGCGUUAGGCGGAAUCACUGGGCUUAAAGCGUGUGUAGGCGGAUCGUUAAGUACCUUGUGAAAUCCCCCGGCUCAACCGGGGGACUGCUGGGUAUACUGGCGAUCUUGAGCGAUCUAGGGGCAGAUGGAACAAGUGGUGGAGCGGUGAAAUGCGUAGAUAUCACUUGGAACGCCGAUGGUGAAAACAGUCUGCUGGGGAUCUGCUGACGCUGAGACACGAAAGCCAGGGGAGCGAACGGG
This 253-nucleotide ribosomal RNA is filed under the name uncultured bacterium. RNAcentral's name for it is "partial 16S ribosomal RNA". It matches the Rfam family "Bacterial small subunit ribosomal RNA", at positions 524 to 776 of the family's 1533-position model. The record is from RNAcentral.